UGACCGGCUCAGUGACCAUGUGAUCGUGUCUGGGCCAGAGGACGAGGGGCUGUACGACUGUGUGUGCACAUGGACUCACCAGCAGCACCUGUACCGCUCUGUGGGCUCCAAACCAGUGUGUCUCAAAGAGCCGACCAUUGUUCUGGAUGAAGUGAUGAUCCUGACUCCAACUGAGGAAGAGCAGCUCGCCGAUGCAGGUUCCCGGCUGCUGCUCAACUGCUCAGUGCUCUGUGGCACCAACGUCCCGCAGCACAACUGUAAGGCAUGGUGGCGCACUGAAACAUCAGCUUUAACCUCUAAGCGCUACAACCGGACCAAAGUGUGAGUACAUCCGAAUCGAGCAGAUUGGUAAGAGGUCUAAGC
This 363-nucleotide long non-coding RNA is filed under the name Neogobius melanostomus (round goby). RNAcentral describes it as "lncRNA (ENSNMLG00000013199.1)". The record is from RNAcentral. Lineage: Eukaryota; Metazoa; Chordata; Actinopteri; Gobiiformes; Gobiidae.